CGUAGGCAACGGGUGAGUAACACGUGAGGAACCUGCCCCGAAGACCGGGAUAACCCUCCGAAAGGAGAGCUAAUACCGGAUACCCCCACCGAAUCGCAUGGUUUGGCGAGGAAAUGGAUUCCGCUUCGGGAGGGCCUCGCGGCCUAUCAGCUUGUUGGUGGGGUAACGGCCUACCAAGGCAUCGACGGGUAGCUGGUCUGAGAGGACGAUCAGCCACACUGGGACUGAGACACGGCCCAG
Molecule: ribosomal RNA, 240 nt
Filed under: uncultured bacterium
Lineage: Bacteria
Description: partial 16S ribosomal RNA
Rfam family: Bacterial small subunit ribosomal RNA
Source: RNAcentral